This 478-nucleotide ribosomal RNA is filed under the name uncultured bacterium. RNAcentral describes it as "partial 16S ribosomal RNA". It matches the Rfam family "Bacterial small subunit ribosomal RNA", at positions 28 to 523 of the family's 1533-position model. The record is from RNAcentral.
GACGAACGCUGGCGGCGUGCUUAACACAUGCAAGUCGAGCGAUGAAAUUCCUUCGGGAAUGGAUUAGCGGCGGACGGGUGAGUAACACGUGGGUAACCUGCCUCAUAGAGGGGAAUAGCCUUCCGAAAGGAAGAUUAAUACCGCAUAAGAUUGUAGUACCACAUGGUACAGCAAUUAGAGGAGUAAUCCGCUAUGAGAUGGACCCGCGUCGCAUUAGCUAGUUGGUGAGGUAACGGCUCACCAAGGCGACGAUGCGUAGCCGACCUGCGAGGGUGAUCGGCCACAUUGGGAUUGAGACACGGGCCAGACUCCUCCGGGAGGCAGCAGUGAGGAAUAUUGCACAAUGGGGGAAACCCUGAUGCAGCAACGCCGCGUGAGUGAUGACGGUCUUCGGAUUGUAAAACUCUGUCUUCAGGGACGAUAAUGACGGUACCUGAGGAGGAAGCCACGGCUAACUACGUGCCAGCAGCCGCGGUAA